AUGCAGCACAAUGGUGACACCAACGCCUCCCGGCCGUGCCCACCUGUUGCAACUGCCACACCCCACCGCCACCGGACGGCGUCCCCAUCAAGGAGUACACAAGUUGCCCCACGCCAAGCGAGAUCUUUCAAAUCUUCUCUAUCAUUGUCAUUGCAAAAGGACUUUCAUCAGUGGCUCGCUGACAAUCUCCCCCAAACCCUAGAAGAGAUUCAAUUUUUUUAA
This 222-nucleotide ribosomal RNA is filed under the name Triticum aestivum (bread wheat). RNAcentral describes it as "partial small subunit ribosomal RNA". Lineage: Eukaryota; Viridiplantae; Streptophyta; Magnoliopsida; Poales; Poaceae. The record is from RNAcentral.